This 793-nucleotide ribosomal RNA is filed under the name Bacillus sp. (in: firmicutes). RNAcentral's name for it is "bacterial SSU rRNA". It matches the Rfam family "Bacterial small subunit ribosomal RNA", at positions 51 to 814 of the family's 1533-position model. The record is from RNAcentral. Lineage: Bacteria; Bacillati; Bacillota; Bacilli; Caryophanales; Bacillaceae.
AUACAUGCAGUCGAGCGGACAGAUGGGAGCUUUGCUCCCUGAUGUUAGCGGCGGACGGGUGAGUAACACGUGGGUAACCUGCCUGUAAGACUGGGAUAACUUCCGGGGAAACCGGGGCUAAUACCGAAUGGUUGUUUGAACGCAUGGUUCAAACAUAAAAAGGUGGCUUCGGCUACCACUUACAGAAUGGACCCGCGGCGCAUUAGCUUAGUUUGGUGAGGUAACGGCUCACCCAGGGAAACGAUGCGUAGCCGACCUGAGGGGGGGGAUCGGGCCACACUGGGACUGAGACACGGCCCCAGGACUCCUAACGGGAGGCAGCAGUAGGAUCUUCCGCAAUGGACGAAAGUUUGACGGAAGCACGCCGCGUGAGUGAUAAAGGUUUUCGGAUCGUAAAGCUCUGUUGUUAGGGAAGAACAAGUACCGUUCGAAUAGGGCGGUACCUUGACGGUACCUAACCAGAAAGCCACGGCUAACUACGUGCCAGCAGCCGCGGUAAUACGUAGGUGGCAAGCGUUGUCCGGAAUUAUUGGGCGUAAAGGGCUCGCAGGCGGUUUCUUAAGUCUGAUGUGAAAGCCCCCGGCUCAACCGGGGAGGGUCAUUGGAAACUGGGGAACUUGAGUGCAGAAGAGGAGAGUGGAAUUCCACGUGUAGCGGUGAAAUGCGUAGAGAUGUGGAGGAACACCAGUGGCGAAGGCGACUCUCUGGUCUGUAACUGACGCUGAGGAGCGAAAGCGUGGGGAGCGAACAGGAUUAGAUACCCUGGUAAGUCCACGCCCGGUAAACGAUGAGU